Molecule: transfer RNA, 69 nt
Filed under: Bos taurus (domestic cattle)
Lineage: Eukaryota; Metazoa; Chordata; Mammalia; Artiodactyla; Bovidae
Also listed under: 2 other names
Rfam family: tRNA
About the family: Transfer RNA (tRNA) molecules are approximately 80 nucleotides in length.
Source: Rfam by way of RNAcentral
CCUGGUGGCUCAGAUGGUAAAGCAUCUGCCUGCAAUGCUGGAGACCUGGGUUCAAUCCCUAGGUCAGGA